Molecule: non-coding RNA, 21 nt
Organism: Caenorhabditis elegans
Lineage: Eukaryota; Metazoa; Nematoda; Chromadorea; Rhabditida; Rhabditidae
Source: Ensembl
UUUAUUGAAAUUGGGUUGUAU